CCUCCUUUCUAAGGAAAUCGAAAAAAAUUUUUUCGAUUUAAAAAAAACCGGUAAUGUGACCGUCCUCAUUUCUCUUCUUUAAUGUCUCUGAGUAUCAAUUAAGGGGCCGGUAGCUCAGGUGGUUAGAGCGCACCCCUGAUAAGGGUGAGGUCGGAAGUUCGAGUCUUCCUCGGCCCACCAGUGUUAUGGGGGAUUAGCUCAGCUGGGAGAGCGCCUGAUUUGCAUUCAGGAGGUCAGCGGUUCGAUCCCGCUAUCCUCCACCAAAUUUGAGACAUUCAGCUUAUUUAAAUUGUGAAUAUUAUUAUUAUCAAUAUCUAUAUCCGAUUGUUUUCAGAUAUUUUUUUUGAAAACAAUCAAAACAAAAAUUUAAUUUAUUACAGAAAAAUUUUUUUCUGUGCAUAAAUCAAGCGUUUAAGGGCGAUUGGCGGAUGCCUUGGCACUGUAAGACGAUGAAGGACGUGGUAUACUGCGAUAAGUUCGGGGAGCUGUAUGCAGGCUUGGAUCCGAAGAUUCCG
RNAcentral lists this unclassified non-coding RNA (515 nucleotides) under uncultured Pelagibacterales bacterium. Its description in RNAcentral is "partial 16S-23S ribosomal RNA intergenic spacer". The stretch from base 402 to 515 matches the Rfam family "Bacterial large subunit ribosomal RNA", at positions 1 to 116 of the family's 2925-position model. The record is from RNAcentral. Lineage: Bacteria; Pseudomonadati; Pseudomonadota; Alphaproteobacteria; Candidatus Pelagibacterales.